Penaeus monodon (black tiger shrimp) is the source of this 178-nucleotide long non-coding RNA. RefSeq lists it as uncharacterized. The transcript has 3 exons. The record is from RefSeq and is a predicted model, not a curated record. Lineage: Eukaryota; Metazoa; Arthropoda; Malacostraca; Decapoda; Penaeidae.
CUGGGAGCUCGGCGUGGGUGGCAGCGGCAUCUGUGUCCGGCGGCGAGGGCGGACAGAUAGAUAUGAAAUAAGUGAAGAAGGUAAAAUCGGCAUCAAGUUCUUAAAUGGACAGAUUUUACCAGUGAAGGGCUUAUGGUCUUCACAGCAACAAAGAAAACUCCUUUUACUGAAAGGUAAG